GGCAACAUUUCAUUUCUUUUUCAUCUCUCAUUUUACUCGCUUUUUCUUCACAUUCAUAAGCCACAAACACUCAUAUUAACUUGAUUCUUUUCAUCUCUCAUUCUACUCUCUUAUUCUUCAAAAUCGAAAGCCACACACACUUGUAUUGAGCUAGUUAUCGAAACGUAAAAUAAUUUGCAGAAGGCGAGGGGGAAACUUCUACAAUUGAAGUAGGUUGUCACUACGUGCUUGAAAGAGGGAAUAUCGAGUUGAUAUGUUUUCUACUUAUUCCCUGCAAGUUAGAUUUUGCUAGAUCCUUGAAUGGAACCGUUAAAGAUCUCUAUGUUAAUUGUGAAGCAUUUUUGGGCUUGAAUAUUUUGGACUUCAAGAGACACAAAGUGCCAUGUUAGCGCCACAUCAACACCACAUCAGCACCUUAGAUACCUAUUUUUGUAUUAUCUGUUUUUGUCAUUUUGGGCUAGACACUUGGAUUGGGGGCCAUUUGACUUUUCUAGGGUAUUAGGACUUAGGGUUGACCAUGCAGCCACCAACUUUUAGACCUUGAUGUGACCACAUUUUUGCUUCUUCUUUUUUUUACGUUUCUUCUGUUCUGUUGCUUUUGCUUUUACGUUUUUCUUCUGCUUCUUCUCUAGUUGUAUCAAAAACUGCACUUUUAC
Cajanus cajan (pigeon pea) is the source of this 656-nucleotide long non-coding RNA. RefSeq lists it as uncharacterized. The record is from RefSeq and is a predicted model, not a curated record. NCBI's taxonomy places the organism in Eukaryota, Viridiplantae, Streptophyta, Magnoliopsida, Fabales, Fabaceae.